Molecule: long non-coding RNA, 614 nt
Organism: Cercocebus atys (sooty mangabey)
Lineage: Eukaryota; Metazoa; Chordata; Mammalia; Primates; Cercopithecidae
Exons: 4
Source: RefSeq, a predicted model, not a curated record
CUUAUGUUAUCCACCCUUUAAAAGAACAUGUUCAGGGUGGCCCUUGUCCAAGAAAGAAGAGAUGGGGAACAGACCUGAAUCAACCCAAAUUCUGGAACCAAGUUCAGCUGACCUGUGGCCUGAGGGGGUAUACCUCCACUGACCCAGGGACUCUGAACUUCCCUUUGUUUUUCACCAUGAAUGGAGGCAGCCUGUGGCCCUCAUCAGAAGCAGAUGUUGGCUCCAUACUUCUUGAGCAACCUGCAGAAUGUGACGGCAGACCAUUACCUGACCUACUGGACACUACUUCCCUCACUCCCUUCAGAGUCUGAGCUACAGGCAGUGCCUUCUGUUCCAAGCUCUGGCACCUUAAACUUUGUUUUUGGCAGUUAAGGACUUUCAGGUGUUGAGUGUUGAUCAAGUUUUUCUGAACAGUAAGUCACUGGCUCUACCUCUUCUUCCACAAGCGUCAGCAUAGCAGAAUCUAUCAGUCCUUUGUACAAUGAGAGAGCAGAAAUUAACAUCCUAGAAAUCAACCAGGAAUUGCACUCACAGCUGAAAAUGAGUGAAUAGCAGUUCUGAGACCUCAAAGAGAAAUUUCUUGUCUCUGAAACUCCUGCCUACUGUCUGACCAA